Long non-coding RNA from Rosa rugosa (rugosa rose), 493 nucleotides. RefSeq lists it as uncharacterized. Lineage: Eukaryota; Viridiplantae; Streptophyta; Magnoliopsida; Rosales; Rosaceae. The transcript is spliced from 5 exons. The record is from RefSeq and is a predicted model, not a curated record.
GUAAACGGGAGACAACGCCACAAAUUUUGAGAUCCCGCUCACAUUUUUUCGCUAAAUUCUAAUCUCCCACCCAAUCUCUUACUAAAAAAUUUUCACACUAGAUCUCUCAUCUCUGCGACUCGGCCAGUCCGCCUCCAACUCUCUCGGUCUCUCCCAGAAAUCGAUCUUCCUCAUCCUCAGCCCUCAGUCAGUCAGCCGGUCUUCCUCAGCCCCAGUCACUCAGCCCCCAGAAAUCGGGAAGAGAAAGAUCCGGCUGCACAGAGCUUGAAGCCUGACCUCCGAGGAAGAUCUGGCUCUCGCCGUCGUCCGAUACACCUCCGAGCAAGCCUGGGCCGACGCCGGCGCUGAGAUUUUGAUUUUGAUUCUGGCCAAGAAAGUGAAUUUGCAGGGAGUCCCUAUAUAUAGGAUCUUCCGUGGCUCCACCUCCGAAAAGGCCAAUUGCGAUUCAUCUUCUUCUUCGCUCAUCUUGUUCUCUUCCUCAUUCUUCUGGUAA